Molecule: RNA transcript, 737 nt
Organism: Carlito syrichta (Philippine tarsier)
Lineage: Eukaryota; Metazoa; Chordata; Mammalia; Primates; Tarsiidae
Gene name: ubiquitin-conjugating enzyme E2 T pseudogene
Exons: 2
Source: RefSeq, a predicted model, not a curated record
AUGCCUCUGAGCAACGUGGAUGGGGGGGUAUAUUUCCAGGAAAGACAGGAAGAGCCUCAGAAAAAGGCACAAAUGCUGGAUGAAAUCUCUAUCUCAGUACAAAAAACCAGGCCUGCACAUCUUAGGUGCACAAUUACCAGAGCUUCCCGUCUGAAGACAGAGCUGCACAUGUUAGCCAGAGAGCCACCCUCAGGCAUCAUAUGUUGGCAAGUUAAAGACCAAAUGGAUGAUCUGCGAGGUCAAAUCUUAGGUGGAAACAACACACCUUAUGAGGAAGGUGUUUUCAAGCUGGAAGUUAUCAUUCCUGAGAAGUACCCAUUUGAACCCCCUCAGAUUCGAUUUCUCCCUCCAAUUUAUCACCCAAACAUUGAUUCAGCUGGAGGAUUUGUUUAGAUGUUCUCAAAUUGCCAACAAAAGGUACCUGGAGACCAUCCCUAAGCAUUGCAACUGUGUUGACCUCUAUUCAGCUGCUCAUGUCAGAACCCAACCCUGAUGACCCACUCGUGGCUGACAUAUCCUCAGAAUUUAAAUAUACUAAGCCAGUCUUCCUCAAAAAUGCCAGGCAGUGGACAGAGAAGCACACAAGACAGAAGACUGAUGAGGAUGAGAUGCUUGGUAAUCUACCAGAGGCUGCUGACUCUGAAAUACCUGGCCCAACACAGAAAAGGAAAGCUGGAAAGCAAGGAGGCAUAGAGAAGAAAUUUUGUCCUGGUGUUUAGGGGAUUUGUCCUGGUCCA